AUGCGAUAAGUAGUGUGAAUUGCAGACUUUAGUGAAUCAUCGAAUCUUUGAACGCACAUUGCGCCCCUUGGUAUUCCAUUGGGCAUGCCUGUUCGAGCGUCAUUUAACCCCUCAAGCACUGCUUGGUGUUGGGCGUUUUGUCUACGGACUCGCCCCAAAUCUAUUGGCAGCAGCCUUACCAGCUUCUUGCGCAGUACAAUGCGCUUCGAGAAGCCUGUGUAGUGGUGUGCAAUCCAGUAAGCAACUCUUUAUUUUGACCUCGAAUCAGGUAGGGAUACCCGCUGAACUUAA
Molecule: unclassified non-coding RNA, 291 nt
Filed under: uncultured Neodendryphiella
Lineage: Eukaryota; Fungi; Ascomycota; Dothideomycetes; Pleosporales; Dictyosporiaceae
Description: partial contains 5.8S ribosomal RNA, internal transcribed spacer 2, and large subunit ribosomal RNA
Rfam family: 5.8S ribosomal RNA (bases 1-102)
Source: RNAcentral